AUUGAACGCUGGCGGCAUGCCUUACACAUGCAAGUCGAACGGCAGCGCGGACUUCGGUCUGGCGGCGAGUGGCGAACGGGUGAGUAAUACAUCGGAACGUACCCUGUUGUGGGGGAUAACUAGUCGAAAGAUUAGCUAAUACCGCAUACGACCUGAGGGUGAAAGUGGGGGACCGGAGACGGCUUCAUGCAGCAGGAGCGGCCGAUGUCUGAUUAGCUAGUUGGUGGGGUAAAGGCCCACCAAGGCGACGAUCAGUAGCUGGUCUGAGAGGACGAUCAGCCACACUGGGACUGAGACACGGCCCAGACUCCUACGGGAGGCAGCAGUGGGGAAUGUUGGACAAUGGGGGCAACCCUGAUCCAGCAAUGCCGCGUGUGUGAAGAAGGCCUUCGGGUUGUAAAGCACUUUUGUCCGGAAAGAAAUCGCGCUGGUUAAUACCUGGCGUGGAUGACGGUACCGGAAGAAUAAGCACCGGCUAACUACGUG
This 486-nucleotide ribosomal RNA is filed under the name uncultured bacterium. RNAcentral describes it as "partial 16S ribosomal RNA". It matches the Rfam family "Bacterial small subunit ribosomal RNA", at positions 30 to 507 of the family's 1533-position model. The record is from RNAcentral.